This 1608-nucleotide long non-coding RNA is filed under the name Mus musculus (house mouse). RNAcentral describes it as "long non-coding RNA chr13:21493644-21495252". The record is from RNAcentral. Lineage: Eukaryota; Metazoa; Chordata; Mammalia; Rodentia; Muridae.
AAUCGCGAGCCGCGAGCAAUCACCAUUAUAAGAUGGCGCUGGCCUCCGCUGUGCCUAACUAGUAAACAAGCCUUGUACGCAGGUGCGAGAGUGAACUCACGCCUAGUCACUGCCCAUCUCAGUGGGGUGAUGGGCAAGCAACAAAUCAGGAGCUGACAUGCCAUAUCAGGUGCUGAAACGCCAUGGCUGAGGGCUAUAUAUAAGCAACUCCAUUUUCUGGGGUCGGGGUCUUCCCUCCUGAAGAAGCAAUAAAGCUUUUGCCGCAGAAGAUUCCGGUUGUCCCGAGUGUGUUCUUGCCGGCGGGGACAAAAGCUCGGGAUAAUCAGUUACUUCAACGUCCAACUAAGCAAGAACAUAAAACAAGGCACUAAAACAAAACAAAAAGAAAGCCCCCCCAAAUUGUUGAAUUACUUAAGCAAUCUAAAGUUUAUCCAAAAUCUAAGCAUGAGAGUUAAGGUGAAAAUAUAUUUUCAUUUAGUUAAGCCUUCUCAGUUAAUAAGGAAAGCUUUCUAAAGUUAAAAAAAAGUCAAGCUGGGUGUGCUGGCUCAUACUAUAAUCCCAAUAUAUGGGUAGCUGAUGCAAGAGGAUUGCCAGGAGUGUGAGGCCAGCCUGAAUUAUGUGUGAAAUCUUGUCUUAAAAAAAGGCAUAAUCAUGAUAAAUAUUAAACAUGUUAAUAUCAGCAAAAGUGCUUAGAAAAAUUAUAUAACGCAUAGUUAGCAUUGUGUAGGUCACUUGGUUUUAGAGCUGUUACUUUUAUUAUCUAAACAAACAGAACAAAUAUAGGAUAGUUAUCAAUUGCAGUUACAUCCACUAAGAAAAGAAAACCUAGUAGAGAAUACCUCUGCAAACACUCCACAUUUAUUCAUGAGAAGAACAAGUGGUGAGUUAAAGCAUUUGAAACUACUUGCUUAAUUUACAUGAAAGGCUUUUUUAAAAGUUACUAUGUCUUCUCAGGGUGGAGGGAGGAAGCUUUGGGCAUGCUGGGCCAGACCUUUUCCACUUAGCUGUAUCCCCAGACCUAAAAAGGCAACUGUAUCACCUGCCUUUCUCUAAUCUCACUUUAGACUUCUGAACCUCUGCCCAUGAGAACUUAGAUAGACCUUACAAGGUUAAUAGAGAAUUGCAUAGCAUGUAUUAAAAUUAAAAGCUUUAGGAACCAAGGAUGUGGCUUAGUGGUAGAAUACUUGUCUCACAUGAAUGAGGGUCUGGAUUCAAAUCCCAUUACUGAAAAAAGAAAAGUACAAAAUUUGUGUCUUUCUUUAAUUUAAGACCAUCCCUGGGUCCAGAGUUAUGACUUUUAAUGACUGGUCAUUUGAAAACUACCCCAAAGCAGGAUGUGGUCAUACCAGUCCUCUCAUCCUUCUGGAGGCAGAGGUAGGAUCUGGAUUGCACUAGGCCACCACAGCCAGGGGUACAUAGUGAGACUCUUUCUCAAAAACAACAGCAAACAAACAAACAAAAAAUAUUUUCCUGCAUAAAUAUGUCAGAUUUUGUGGUCUGACCAGGGAAAAAUAAAUAAUAAAGAAGACAAGUAGAUGAAUAGAUACAUACACAUAUACUUCCUGAAAGUAGAAUUUGGGCGUCAAAGUGCCCGCCGUGUCCAUGGAG